GGAGGGUGCAAGCGUUAAUCGGAAUUACUGGGCGUAAAGCGUGCGUAGGCGGUUUAUUAAGUCAGAUGUGAAAGCCCCGGGCUUAACCUGGGAACUGCAUUUGUAACUGGUCAACUAGAGUAUGGUAGAGGAAAGUGGAAUUUCUGGUGUAGCGGUGAAAUGCGUAGAUAUCAGAAGGAACAUCAAUGGCGAAGGCAGCUUUCUGGACCAAUACUGACGCUGAGGUACGAAAGCGUGGGUAGCAAACAGGAUUAGAUACCCUGGUAGUCCACGCCGUAAACGAUGAUAACUAGCCGUUGGGGGGAUUUACCCCUUAGUGGCGAAGCUAACGCGUUAAGUUAUCCGCCUGGGGAGUACGGCCGCAAGGCUAAAACUCAAAGGAAUUGACGGGGACCCGCACAAGCGGUGGAGCAUGUGGUUUAAUUCGAUGCAACGCGAAGAACCUUACCUGGUCUUGACAUCCUGCGAACUUUCUAGAAAUAGAUUGGUGCCUUCGGGAACGCAGUGACAGGUGCUGCAUGGCUGUCGUCAGCUCGUGUCGUGAGAUGUUGGGUUAAGUCCCGUAACGAGCGCAACCCCUAUCCUUAUUUGCCAGCACAUUAUGGUGGGAACUAUAAGGAGACUGCCGGUGAUAAACCGGAGGAAGGCGGGGACGACGUCAAGUCAUCAUGGCCCUUACGACCAGGGCUACACACGUGCUACAAUGGGAAGGACAAAGAGCCGCGAAGCCGCGAGGUGUAGCUAAUCCCACAAAUCUUUUCGUAGUCCGGAUUGGAGUCUGCAACUCGACUCCAUGAAGUCGGAAUCGCUAGUAAUCGUAGAUCAGAAUGCUACGGUGAAUACGUUCCCGGGUCUU
This 856-nucleotide ribosomal RNA is filed under the name uncultured organism. RNAcentral describes it as "bacterial SSU rRNA". It matches the Rfam family "Bacterial small subunit ribosomal RNA", at positions 527 to 1382 of the family's 1533-position model. The record is from RNAcentral.